Molecule: ribosomal RNA, 279 nt
Filed under: Janthinobacterium lividum
Lineage: Bacteria; Pseudomonadati; Pseudomonadota; Betaproteobacteria; Burkholderiales; Oxalobacteraceae
Description: partial 16S ribosomal RNA
Rfam family: Bacterial small subunit ribosomal RNA
Source: RNAcentral
GGGCUUGAAUCUGGCAAAGGGGGGUAGAAUUCCACGUGUAGCAGUGAAAUGCGUAAAUAUGUGGAGGAACACCGAUGGCGAAGGCAGCCCCCUGGGUCAAGAUUGACGCUCAUGCACGAAAGCGUGGGGAGCAAACAGGAUUAGAUACCCUGGUAGUCCACGCCCUAAACGAUGUCUACUAGUUGUCGGGUCUUAAUUGACUUGGUAACGCAGCUGACGCGUGAAGUAGACCGCCUGGGGAGUACAGUCGCAAGAUUAAAACUCAGAGGAAUUGACAGG